Molecule: non-coding RNA, 128 nt
Organism: Triticum aestivum (bread wheat)
Lineage: Eukaryota; Viridiplantae; Streptophyta; Magnoliopsida; Poales; Poaceae
Source: Rfam
UAUAUACUCACUCCGUCCGGAAAUACUUAUCAUCAAAAUGAAUAAAAGGCGAUGUAUCUAGACGUUCUAGAUACAUCUCCUUCUAUCCAUUUUGAUGACAAGUAUUUUCGGAACGGAGGGAGUACAUU